Molecule: long non-coding RNA, 526 nt
Filed under: Mustela putorius furo (domestic ferret)
Lineage: Eukaryota; Metazoa; Chordata; Mammalia; Carnivora; Mustelidae
Description: lncRNA (ENSMPUG00000025219.1)
Source: RNAcentral
UUUACACAAAGGUUAAGCCCUUGAAAUACUGCCGGCUCCCUCCCCUAACACAACGUGCCAACUCUGGGAAGGAGGUGAGAAACCUGGAGGAGGUAGGGCUUAAACUGCACCUUGAAAAAAGCAGAAGCUUAACAAGAGGAGAUGCUGUGUGAGUACAAAUGUAUGUUCUUUCCAGCUCUUUUCCCUCUUUAUGCCUGAAGUGAGUCAGUUAACAUUGAUCUAACCAUGUGUCAACCUCUUUAGGGAACUUCUAUCUGACUGAGCUACUUUUCUCUCCUAAAGAUCAUGAUCCUUCUCCAUUCCAUGACUUGGCCUUCAUCCAGAAGAACUGGCUGUGUAACAAUUCCCAUGAGGUUAAGUAUUGUACUUGGGAAUAAUAAUCUCUCAUCUCUUAUAUGUGGAAAGAAUAUGCUUAUCUCCUUACCACUGGGGAAGGCCUUGGGAAGAAAGCAGAAAGACAACACGGCAAGCUCUUGAGGGACAUAGAAGACUACUUUUGUGUCAAUGAGACAACUCAAUAAAAAAU